AGUGGGGCGAUAAGUGAACCUCUCUCUAUUUAAUUUUUAAAGAUUCUUUUGUUUCAGGUAUUGUACCAAAGGAUUGGAGGAAGGCAGAUGUCGUUGCUAUGUUUAAAAAGGGUUCAAAAUCCUUGCCUGGAAAUUAUAGACCUGUGAGCUUAACUUCUGUGACUGGGAAAAUAUUAAUUAAAUAUUAAGGGAUAAUAUUCAGGAAUUCAUUGGGAAGAACUUUGUUAUUAGAAGGGAGGUCGGCAGAAAAAGUGUCCGUUUUCAGUUCCGUGAAAUCAAUGCCGAACACCGCUGGUCUUUCGCAUGGUUUGAAAUGGCCGCCGCCUCGUGGUCGACGUACGAACAAUGACCACCCUGUAUUCGGUUUUCAUUGAGAAGUGUCUGCGGUUAACCACAAUGUUCUAAUUGGGAUCAAGAGGUUAACCAGCAGCACACUUCUCUUCUGGGUGGCCGUCCGUUCUGUAGUUUUGUUUGGCGGAAGAGUCAAUUCACUGAACAGCGGCAUACGAACGGGUAAUUCCACGAAAAGGCAAAACAGACGAACCAGCAAUCCCAGUCUAUACAGAUGGAUCUGUCACAGGGCUAUUAAGGGAUAAUAUUCAGGAAUUCAUUGGGAAGAACUUUGUUAUUAGCAAUAAUCAGCAUGGUUUUAUGAAACAUAGGUCAUGUCAAACUAACCUAAUUGCAUUCUACGAAGAAGUAAGUAGAAGUAUAGACCAGGGUGUUACAGUGGAUGUGAUCUACUUGGAUUUUGCCAAGGCAUUUGAUACGGUUCCUC
Non-coding RNA from Pelobates cultripes (western spadefoot toad), 778 nucleotides. Lineage: Eukaryota; Metazoa; Chordata; Amphibia; Anura; Pelobatidae. The record is from the annotation of a GenBank genome assembly.